RNAcentral lists this ribosomal RNA (1699 nucleotides) under Epinephelus aeneus (white grouper). RNAcentral describes it as "16S ribosomal RNA". The stretch from base 98 to 1619 matches the Rfam family "Bacterial large subunit ribosomal RNA". Lineage: Eukaryota; Metazoa; Chordata; Actinopteri; Perciformes; Serranidae. The record is from RNAcentral.
UACUGACUCGCUAGCCCAAAAAUCAAAAACAACAAAUCAUAAUAACUAAACCCAAAGACACCAUAAACCCCUAUAAACAAACCAUUUUUCCCCCUUAGUAUGGGCGACAGAAAAGGGAAAACGGAGCGAUAGAAAAAGUACCGCAAGGGAACGCUGAAAAACCAAAUGAAAAAACAAGUGAAGCCCAAAAAAGCAGAGACUAAAACUCGUACCUUUUGCAUCAUGAUUUAGCCAGUGCAGCCCAAGCAAAGAGCACUUUAGUUUGUGCACCCGAAACUUCGUGAGCUACUCCAAGGCAGCCUAAUUAAUAGGGCUAACCCGUCUCUGUGGCAAAAGAGUGGGAAGACCUUCGAGUAGAGGUGAUAAACCUACCGAACCUAGUAAUAGCUGGUUGCCCGACAAUUGGAUAGAAGUUCAGCCUCCCGGCUUCUUUAUUCUUCAACCUUCUGUCCAAACAGAUAAUUAAGAAACCAGGAGAGUUAGUCAAAGGGGGUACAGCCCCUUUGAAAUAAGAUACAACUUUUAUAGGCGGAUAAAGAUCAUAACUAACAAAGGCAAUAAAUUAGGGUGGGCCUGAAAGCAGCCAUCCCAUCAAAAAGCGUUAAAGCUCAAACACAUAUUUACUACAGCCUCAAGUCUCGACCAUCACCUCUUAUUCCCCUUAUCCUACCGGGCCGUCCCAUGCUUGCAUGGGAGCGAUCCUGCUAAAAUCAGUACAUAGGAGAGCCUUACGGCUCUCUCCCUGCAUAUGUGUAAAUCGGAAACGGACAAUCCACCGAACCUUAACGGACCCAAAUAACAGAGGGAACUGAACCACACAUAAAACGACCGGAAAAACACCCAAACAAACAACCGUUACCCCUACACAGGUAUGCUCUCAGGGAAAGACUAAAAGAAAGAGAAGGAACUCGGCAAACACUUAGCCUCGCCUGUUUACCAAAAACAUCGCCUCUUGCCAAAAUGAAAGUAUAAGAGGUCCCGCCUGCCCUGUGACUAUAUGUUUAACGGCCGCGGUAUUUUGACCGUGCGAAGGUAGCGCAAUCACUUGUCUUUUAAAUAAAGACCUGUAUGAAUGGCAUCACGAGGGCUCAACUGUCUCCUCUUUCAAGUCAAUGAAAUUGAUCUCCCCGUGCAGAAGCGGGGAUAAACACAUAAGACGAGAAGACCCUAUGGAGCUUUAGACACUAAAGCAGACCGACAUUAAGACCCCAGACACGGGACACAAAUAAAUUGGGGCCUGCCCUAAUGUCUUUGGUUGGGGCGACCGUGGAGAACAAUAAAACCUCCACAAGGACCGAAUGUAUAGCAUUCACAACCAAGAACGACAGUUCUAAUUAACAGAAUUUCUGACCAAUAAGAUCCGGCAACGCCGAUCAAUGAACCGAGUUACCCUAGGGAUAACAGCGCAAUCUCCUCUUAGAGUCCAUAUCGACGAGGAGGUUUACGACCUCGAUGUUGGAUCAGGACAUCCUAAUGGUGCAGCCGCUAUUAAGGGUUCGUUUGUUCAACGAUUAAAGUCCUACGUGAUCUGAGUUCAGACCGGAGCAAUCCAGGUCGGUUUCUAUCUAUGUAAUGAUCUUUUCUAGUACGAAAGGACCGAAAAGAGGGGGCCCAUGUUUAAGACAUGCCUCACCCCCACCUAAUGAAAGCAGCUUAAUCAGGUAAGGGGGCAACGCCCCCUUGUCUGAGAAAAUGACAU